Molecule: long non-coding RNA, 891 nt
Organism: Humulus lupulus (European hop)
Lineage: Eukaryota; Viridiplantae; Streptophyta; Magnoliopsida; Rosales; Cannabaceae
Exons: 3
Source: RefSeq, a predicted model, not a curated record
ACACUAAAUACCCUACCUCACAUCUCUAACUCUCUCAGCUGCACAAAGCCUAACCCUCACACUUUGUCUCCAUUAUCUUCCUCUCUCUCUCUCUCGUGCACGAAGCCUAACCUUUCCCUCUCACUCUCUCACUGAACGGCAAGAUCUUGAAAACCAGGCGAUGGGUGGAGUCUCAGAAACUAGGCGAUAAGCGGGGUCUCCUCUCUCUCUCUGGCUGUACCACGGUUCUCCUUUGCUACUCUUUCUUCUUGGGACACUCACAAUGACAUUGCAGAAAUGAAGGACCCAAUCAUUUUUUAAGCGGGGAUUGUUGAAGAUAGGAGCUUUUGCUGCAGCAUUUUUUUAGCAAAAGAAGGAGGAAUCAGCAGCUCAAAAAGGAGGUCAUGUGGCAUCAUUUAUCCAGCUGUAAAGGAGUCUGACGUGGCAGUGUGGAAAAAGAUAUUAAAUCAGCAGUUAUUUUAGUAAGUGGGCCACGUGUGAGAGAAAGAAGGAGGGCAAAAUAGAGAAAUUAAAAGAAGGAAAAAGGAGAGGGUUGUACCCUAGCUAAUUAAGGAAGGAGCAGCCUCCAUUUUUGACAAGACUUGAGCCAGAAGGUUACUGUAGAAAACCAAAGAGAAUAUCAGAUAAAAAAAUGCCAGGAAGAAAUAGAAGAGAGGUUCAAGAAAGGAGUCCAACCAAAGAAACUAAAGCAUCAUUUUGGAUUUGUUUUUCUCUUCUUUCUAAACUCUAUUGUAUUAAUUUCUGAGUUGGAUUUUAUCUGAAUAUUAUGGGCUGUUUUGAUUAUGAAUUAAUGUAUAUGAAAUCAGCCAUGAACUAAUUUCUUGGUGGCUUGAAUUGUUGAUGAACCCUAUGUUAUUAUCUAUCCAUUUCUUGCACUUUAUUUUAGUAAAA